CGCUGUCCAUCCAGGGUCCCUAAGAGGCAGUCAUGAUUCACUGCUUGUUUUCGUUGCUGGAUGAUCUACGGGUCAGAAUAUAAUUUCUGUUAUUUUUUAUUUUUUUCACAAUUUUGACAGCCUCCGGAUGAAACAAAAAGAGGUAGUCGUGCACACAAUCCACCGGAUGCAUAAUGGCAUGACACACAUGCAUGAUCCACAAGGACAUACCAACAAAAUCUUCUUGCACUGGCUAUUUUUAAACAAACUUUGUACCUUUAUUUAUAAAGGAAGGCGAAAGCCUGUUUGGUGAUCUUUAAACAAACCCACGCCUCCACGUCUCACUGCCCCGUCUAUCUCGUUUUUCUGUUUCUUCCUGUCCCAUUCUUUCCAGUUAAUUUACUGGCAUGACUCUUCUUUCCGGUGGAAUCCAUGGCCAUGCAUGACCUGAGCGCAAGCUCAAACCUAGGUUCUACCAUGACUGGAGACGGACAAUGUUCUUCAAGGCGACACCUCAAAGGAGAAAGCGACGAGAACAGCUCUGUCACCCUAAGAUCGAUCCUUAGACUUGCACCCGAGGAGCAUGAGCCAAGGGCGGGAGUAGAUAUUUAUUGCGGACGAUAGGGCUCAUAUGAUUUGUUGGCAUUAUUCAAUUUCUAUGUUGGCACAAAAC
RNAcentral lists this long non-coding RNA (652 nucleotides) under Hordeum vulgare. Its description in RNAcentral is "long non-coding RNA (HVUL_LNC001680)". Lineage: Eukaryota; Viridiplantae; Streptophyta; Magnoliopsida; Poales; Poaceae. The record is from RNAcentral.